Molecule: ribosomal RNA, 456 nt
Filed under: uncultured bacterium
Lineage: Bacteria
Description: bacterial SSU rRNA
Rfam family: Bacterial small subunit ribosomal RNA
Source: RNAcentral
UACGGAAGGCAGCAGUGGGGAAUAUUGCACAAUGGGCGCAAGCCUGAUGCAGCCAUGCCGCGUGUAUGAAGAAGGCCUUAGGGUUGUAAAGUACUUUCAUCGGGGAGGAAAAAACAAAAACUAAUAAUUUUAUUUCUUGACGUUACCCGAAAAAGAAGCACCGGCUAACUCCGUGCCAGCAGCCGCGGUAAUACGGAGGGUGCUAGCGUUAAUCAGAAUUACUGGGCGUAAAGAGCACGUAGGUGGUUUUUUUAAGUUCAGAUGUGAAAUCCCUGGGCUUAACCUAGGAACUGCAUUUUGAAACUGAAAUACUAGAGUAUCGUAGAGGGAGGUAGAAUUCUAGGUGUAGCGGUGAAAUGCGUAGAUAUCUGGAGGAAUACCUGUGGCGAAAGCGGCCUCCUAAACGAAUACUGACACUGAGGUGCGAAAGCGUGGGGAGCAAACAGGGAUUAGAUA